UGAGCAUGAUUUUGUUCCAGGGUUGUGAGGGUAUCUGAAUCUGUCCCUCAGAAAUUUCAAUUCAAAGUAAAUCCAGAUGGAUUUUACCAAGAUUGCUUGUGAAAUGCACUGUGACUAGAGAAAUUUGAAGAGGGAAGGAAGGAGCUUGAACUGCAAUACUAAAACAAAACAAAAUAAAAAAUAAUAAUACAUGGAAGUAUAAAAUAGUAAAAGACAAUCAGAACAUGUAUUUAUACUAAAUUAAAACUUUAUUGACUAAUGUUCUCCAGACAACAUGAUCCAAUGGACUAUGGUUGCAAACAUGCAAUGAAGUUGAACACAACAGUAGUUUAACAUGGAAUGUCAAACAAAUUAAUAUAUUGUAGUAAAUGAAACCAUUUAUCUGUGUUGCUGCAAAAUGAAACCAAGCUAUGUAUUUCCUUGGUCAAUCUGUGUUCAGCUAAGAGGCAAUGCAUUUGAAGAAACUGCAAAAGUCACGUAGGCAUAUUUUAUUAUUAAUCCAGCACAAAGCAUUUCUUCUAAGUUUUUCACAUAAAAGACUAAAGCUUGCUUACAGUACUACAACUUCUAUCGUUCAAGCAUCAUUAUUACCUAUCAGGGAGAUUGGCUAGAUGACAGAAUGGGUCUUUUCCAUCCCUAACUUCUAUAAAGAAAAUCAUUCAUGCCAGCAAGAAGAUGGGUCGCUACAUCUUGAGCUUGAUCCUGUAGGCUUUGUUCAGGCAAAACUCCCACUGACUUAAGAGAGGUUUUCCAGAGCAGGACAUCCAGGAUUAGGCCCUUUUUUUUAUUUUUAUUUUUUAAAAAAGCAUCCACUUAGGAUACGUGGACAAUAUUAUAUAGAAUUAAAAAAAUAUACGACAUGUGCUUCAAUUGCAUUGAAGGAAUCAGAGAAUGUAAACAGCAUAGUGGCCCACACCUUCACAAUAUCCAUGAGGAAGUGUCAACAGCAAGUGUGCGUAUGCUUCUCAGUGUAUGCUUCUGAUUGUGUUUUGUGUACACCUUUACCUCCAUGUCCACACACACAUGUACACCCUUAAAAUACAUAAAGGUGUGAUAAAAUUAAUUAGAGUCGGUUGCUUGCCUGUCUUAAUGCUUAAAUCUGCAAGUGACAGCCAACUGGGUUUUAUAUGAUGCGAAUGAGACUGCACGUGAACAGCAGGACAUGAAUAUUGCUGUGGGCAAGAGUGUGGUUGCUGGUUCUAGGAGCGUGGAGCCAUCCCACUUCCACCUAUGCACAUCACUAAAUCUACCUGCAUUAAGAGCUGGAAAAGCAGGUGACCAAAGUAUUUCUUGGUGGGCUUCUUCUGAAAUUUGAGUUGUAGACUAUCUUCACAGAAGCCUUUCAACAACCUGGUGGACUAUGCAGGAAAGUUUACCUUCAAAGUGCACUUAUUAAGAAUGGAAUGUUCUUGACAGGGAAAUGAUCAGAGACAAUCCUGGAUUUUUUGCUUGUUGAAUAGGAAAAACAUUUUCAUCUUCAGACAGCACUUCACCCUGACAAAUGUGAGUUCAGUUAUUAUUGGGUUUUAGAAGAUUCUUUAGAAACAAACACAAUAGUACGCACAUACACAUACACUCAGAUAUUUACAGCCUUUCUAGAAAAAACGACCC
This is a long non-coding RNA of Coturnix japonica (Japanese quail), 1611 nucleotides long. Lineage: Eukaryota; Metazoa; Chordata; Aves; Galliformes; Phasianidae. The record is from Ensembl.